UACGUAGGUGGCAAGCGUUAUCCGGAAUUAUUGGGCGUAAAGAGCGCGCAGGUGGUUAAUUAAGUCUGAUGUGAAAGCCCACGGCUUAACCGUGGAGGGUCAUUGGAAACUGGUUGACUUGAGUGCAGAAGAGGGAAGUGGAAUUCCAUGUGUAGCGGUGAAAUGCGUAGAGAUAUGGAGGAACACCAGUGGCGAAGGCGGCUUCCUGGUCCGUAACUGACACUGAGGCGCGAAAGCGUGGGGAGCAAACAGG
This 253-nucleotide ribosomal RNA is filed under the name uncultured bacterium. RNAcentral describes it as "partial 16S ribosomal RNA". It matches the Rfam family "Bacterial small subunit ribosomal RNA", at positions 524 to 776 of the family's 1533-position model. The record is from RNAcentral.